UGCAUAUUCCUCAGUCCGACAUACUCCCUGCAUAUUCCUCAGUCCGACAUACUCCCUGCAUAUUCCUCAGUCCGACAUACUCCCUGCAUAUUCCUCAGUCCGACAUACUCCCUGCAUAUUCCUCAGUCCGACAUACUCCCUGCAUAUUCCUCAGUCCGACAAGUCCUCGUGAUUAUCCAGUUACUGUGAGUGGCAUUGGGGUUACCGUUAAACAUGCAUGUGAGGUUUGUGUGUGUGUGUGCACGUUUGUGCCUGCGUGUGUAUGUAGCAGUGUGUGUAUGUGCCUCUGUGAUUUGUGCGUGUGCACGUUUGUGCCUGCCUGUGUAUGUAGCAGUGUGUGUAUGUGCCUCUGUGAUUUGUGCGUGUGCACGUGUGUUUGGUAUAAAAACAGAGGCAGUAUCAUUUGAAGACGUGUGACAACGAGACAGGGACCACGUCUUCCUCCCAGUCCCUAUAGCUGCUGCUGGUCUCCGGGUCCUGGGCCUCCGACCUCUUCGGAGGAACCAUGACCUUCAACCCCAUAGGGACCAACACAGAUUGAACCUACAGGGACCAUGGGUCUCAGCGACCUGUCCUGCACCCUGAGCUCUAAUGUCUACCCCUGUCUUCGGGACCAUGGGUCUCGGCGACUGCGGAACCAAGCUGGAGGAAGGGAAGAGGACAAACUGAUCUUCAGAAACGAGAUUAUGUUCUUUUGACGACUCCAGUGCUGUGAUCAACAGGAGGCACUGGGUGAAGCUUUAGUUCUGCGGUGUCUAACCCCCACAGAAGGGCAACGUGAACCUGGAAUUCCUGUCCCACAAGAUUCCAAGAGAAAUGCUUUAGGAAGGUCACCUACCAGUUUGAAAUCUUCCACAACAGUUAUUUCAUCAGGAUGGUGGAUCCAGCCAGUUACCCAGUGGAGGUGGAUCUGAAGGAGAUGGUCGACACGGAGAUCACGUCCACAACCUCUGUCCACAACACUGAGAUGUUUGUGGAGUCCUGCAAGACCACGCUCUCAGACAACCCGAAUGAUCCUGACCACUACAGCAUCAUCCAAAAUGGGUCAGGGACAAAAAACCCAAAAGAAAACAUUGGUUCCUUGUUGUAUACGUUCAUUAUAUACUUUACUGCAGCGCUCCUACCGGUUAAAA
Molecule: long non-coding RNA, 1133 nt
Organism: Oncorhynchus tshawytscha (Chinook salmon)
Lineage: Eukaryota; Metazoa; Chordata; Actinopteri; Salmoniformes; Salmonidae
Source: Ensembl